AAAGCUGGCGUGACUGAAGAUCUGCGGAGGAACGGGCGGUUUGAGAAAUUAACUUGUAGCACAAAUAAUGCAGCAGAGAUGAGAGAACAUUUCCGUGGUGUAAAUGCCCAACGUUCACAGAGCAGUGAGAAUACACACAUUAACUCCUAUUGGCAUUGACAGGUGGUGAGGGACUCGAGUCGGAGAGGAGAAACGAGUGGGAAGGAGACUGAGUGUGAAACGGGGAAGACAAGAUGGGGAGAGAAUAUGGAUAGAGAGGACGAGACCGCAAAGAGAAGAGAGAAACAGAAAGGAGACUUCAGUGCGUAUAGUCAUGUUUGUCUGUUUUACAUUUUUUGGUGAAGGGAAGAAAGGAAGGAAGUGGAGCGAUGGAUGGAUGGAUUGCUCAGAGAAAUAAAAAAAAAUUGGUGAGAAAGAAGAAGAAAGGAAUGAAGAAAGAAAGUGGACGAUGGGUGGAUUGCUCAAAGAGAGAAAUAGUGGUGAAAGAAAGGAGAGGAAGAAAGAAAGACAAAAAGAAAGGAAGAAAGAAAUGGAUGAUGGACGGACGGAUGGAUUGCUCAAAGAGAGAAAUAGUGGUGAAAGAAAGGAGAGGAAGAAAGAAAGACAAAAAGAAAGGAGAAAGAAAAUGGAUGAUGGAUGGAUUGCUCAAAGAGAGAAAUAGUGGUGAAAGAAAGGAGAGGAAGAAAGACAAAAAGAAAGGAAGAAAAAGUGGAUUAUGGAUGGAUGGAUGGAUGGAUUGCUCAAAGAGAGAAAUAGUGGUGAAAGAAAGGAGAGAAAGAAAGAAAGACAAAAAGGAAGGAAGGAAGAAAUGGAUGGAUGGAUGGAUUGCUCAAAGAGAGAGAUAGUGGUGAAAGAAAGGAGAGGAAGAAAGAAAGACAAAAAGGAAGGAAGGAAGAAAGAAAGUGGAUGAUGGACAGAUGGAUGGAUUGCUCAAAGAGAGAAAUAGUGGUGAAAGAAAGGAGAGGAAGAAAGACAAAAGGAAGGAAGGAAGAAAGAAAGUGGAU
Molecule: long non-coding RNA, 1004 nt
Organism: Ictalurus punctatus (channel catfish)
Lineage: Eukaryota; Metazoa; Chordata; Actinopteri; Siluriformes; Ictaluridae
Source: Ensembl